Molecule: ribosomal RNA, 468 nt
Filed under: uncultured bacterium
Lineage: Bacteria
Description: partial 16S ribosomal RNA
Rfam family: Bacterial small subunit ribosomal RNA
Source: RNAcentral
GACGAACGCUGGCGGCGUGCUUAACACAUGCAAGUCGAACGGAAAGGCCCUGCUUUUGUGGGGUGCUCGAGUGGCGAACGGGUGAGUAACACGUGAGUAACCUGCCCUUGACUUUGGGAUAACUUCAGGAAACUGGGGCUAAUACCGGAUAGGAGCUCCUGCUGCAUGGUGGGGGUUGGAAAGUUUCGGCGGUUGGGGAUGGACUCGCGGCUUAUCAGCUUGUUGGUGGGGUAGUGGCUUACCAAGGCUUUGACGGGUAGCCGGCCUGAGAGGGUGACCGGGGACAUUGGGACUGAGAUACGGCCCAGACUCCUACGGGAGGCAGCAGGGGGGAAUAUUGCACAAUGGGCGGAAGCCUGAUGCAGCAACGCCGCGUGCGGGAUGACGGCCUUCGGGUUGUAAACCGCUUUCGCCUGUGACGAAGCGUGAGUGACGGUAAUGGGUAAAGAAGCACCGGCUAACUACGUG